AGCAGCCGCGGUAAUUCCAGCUCCAAUAGCGUAUAUUAAAGUUGUUGCAGUUAAAAAGCUCGUAGUUGAAUUUCGGGGUCAGUAGGUUGGUCGUGCCACCGGUACGUACUGGUCUCACUGAUUCCUCCUUCCUGAUGAGCUGUAAUGCCAUUAAUUUGGUGUUGCAGGGAAUCUGGACUGUUACUUUGAAAAAAUUAGAGUGUUUAAAGCAGGCUAACGCUUGAAUACAUUAGCAUGGAAUAAUGAAAUAGGACGUUCGAUCCUAUUUUGUUGGUUUCUAGGAUUGACGUAAUGAUUAAUAGGGAUAGUUGGGGGCAUUAGUAUUCAAAUUGUCAGAGGUGAAAUUCUUGGAUUUAUUGAAGACUAACUACUGCGAAAGCAUUUGCCAAGGAUGUUUUCAUUAAUCAAGAACGAAAGUUAGGGGAUCGAAGACGAUCAGAUACCGUCGUAGUCUUAACCAUAAACGAUGCCGACUAGGGAUCGGAUGAUGU
RNAcentral lists this ribosomal RNA (491 nucleotides) under uncultured Glomeromycotina. RNAcentral's name for it is "SSU rRNA". It matches the Rfam family "Eukaryotic small subunit ribosomal RNA", at positions 569 to 1063 of the family's 1831-position model. Lineage: Eukaryota; Fungi; Glomeromycota. The record is from RNAcentral.